AUGUUUAUAAUACAUACUUCUUUCUUUUCUGUCUUUCCUCAGUCCUCAGACUUUCUCUCCAAAAAUCAAAACCAUCUCCUUCCCCCAAAAAUCCAAAACCAUGGGCAUCAUGUACGAUCGUUCCUCUCUCUUCUCAGUCCUUAGAAACCCUCUUUCUCUCCAAAAAUCAAAACCUUCUUCUUCCCCCAAAAAUCCAAAAUCAAAAUCCAAAACUUAGGAUGAGAAAGAAGGAAGAGCCACCUCUCUCCAUCUGACAAACCAAGGAAAGGAACCUAGUACAAUGAUGCAGAAGCCAGAAUUCUUGACGGCUUGCAAGGCUGACCAGCGGUCGCACUUCAAAUCCAAGAUUUUCUUUCUUUAAUUAUAUUGAAUUGGGAAAUUCUAGCUCUUUAUGUUAUAGAUUUAUGUUGCUGUUGACGAAUUGUUUUAUUAAAUUUGCUAUAUAUGAUGAAAAAACUUGCCCCUUUUUUUUCACCAUUGUUCUCUGAAGAUGUUUUAUUGAAUGGUACAGUGAAUUUUCCUCACAACCCAAGUAGAAAAGGAUUAUAUAUAGUAUGGAUUUGGUGUCAUUGAAUAGUUGUUUUAAUUUCCUAAUCAUUAAGAUCAUAAGCAUAGCUCCCCCAAAUAGAAACUAUUUGUCUUUUGAUGUCACAAGAGUUGUGUUCUUUUAUAACUAAUCUUUAUAAUAUUUGACUAUCGCAUCAGUGUUUGGCAUUAAUUUUCCAAGAGUUGAUUUUUUAAACUUUAGCAAAGGGAUUGCUGAAUAGCAGUUUGUGUGUAUAACAGUGACAUUCUAGAUGAUUCUCGAUAGAGACAUAACAUCUUUUUUAACUAUUGAUAAACCCUGUUGUGAUUGAUACAUAAUAAAAAUAAUGUUAUCAAUACAUCUAUAUGUGACAGUGAUGUUGCUCCAAUCACAAAAAUAUUUAAUUGUUGUGAAAUAUCGAAGUUGUAAAGAAUGUGAGUUUAUGUCAUGGGUUACAAUCAAAUACAAAAUAUGUGGCUACUUUCCUGAUUUCUUUGAGGUUGCUGCUAUAAAGGGAAAAGGUACAAGAAAUUGCUUUCUUAAAUUUUGUUAUGGAUCGUUUUGAAGUUUUUUCUUCCCUUUUGUCAAUGUUCAAUUGUAGUGUGCUUAGUUUAGGUGCAUUUUUUGGGUGUAUUCAUGCAAUAAAGCAUUCUUUUUAUUCCCAUUUAGAAAAUGUACACCAUGUAUUUGACAAAAAGUCUCACUCAAAGUUGAAAAUUACCACUCAAAAUUGAAAGUUAACAAAUAACACCGUUUGAAAUCCCAACAAUGAUCGUGGUAACUUUCUCCCAAAUUGUUUUGAGGGCUAUGAAUAGAUCGUAGUCAACUUAACUUUUUUCAAGUGGAAGGAUAUAGCUGUAGUUGAUUCUGCGGGGUUGAGGUGGAAGAUGCUCUUCUUGCUGUUUGUGGCUGUUCCAAAAUUUAGUUGGUCUAGCAGCAUGACGUGAUGUAAUGUGCGUUCAACAACCAGCCUUCUUCUUUCAUUGAACUCAUGGAUUUGGCUUGGGAUAGGGAUCAAAAAACAUGCGAACUCACUACCUUGCUAUCAUGGGUACUAUGGCAAUGAAGAAACAGGUACCAGCAAGCUUUCAAUAAGGAAGAAUCUUAACAAUUCAAGGUGUACAAGCAUUCCACUAAUCCUAAUCCUACUGGAGGUCAAUGGCAAAUUGUACUUAAACUAGCAGGUGCAAAAAGGAGGGGAUUUACUGGUAGUGCUUAUGCUUACGAGGCUAGGAAUAGACAAGGUGAAAUGGUGUUUUGGGGUAUCAGAAGCUAUAUUGCAAGCUCUGCUGCUGGGGUAGUACAUGAAGCUCUGGUGGAAGCCUCUAUCUAGGCGAGGUCCCUUGGUUUUUUGCAAGUUUUGUUACUCAGCAACUGCAAGAAAUUAGUUCUACUCUUUAAUGGGUUUGCAAAGCCAGAUUGGAGGGAAAGAACAAUGAUGGCAGAUCUUAGUCACAUGCAACAAACUGGUUUAGUGUUUAAGCUGAUUUUUGUUCCUAAGGUUGUCCUAGAUAAUGUUUGGAAUUUAGCUAAGUUGGCUACUGAUGUGCUAACUCACUUCUGUUGGCCUAAUAUGGUUCAGUUUGUAACUUAACUGUAUGUUUUUCUUUCUUUACUGGUAUCAAAAAUUAUGCUUAAGAAACAAAAGCACAUAAGGAUGGGUUGUUAUGUUUGUUUUAA
Molecule: long non-coding RNA, 2206 nt
Organism: Quercus lobata
Lineage: Eukaryota; Viridiplantae; Streptophyta; Magnoliopsida; Fagales; Fagaceae
Exons: 2
Source: RefSeq, a predicted model, not a curated record